CACGUAGGCACCAAGCGUUGUCCGGAUUUAUUGGGCCUAAAGCAUCCGUAGCCGGUUCUACGAGUCUUCCGUUAAAUCCAACUGCUUAACAGGUGGGCUGCGGAAGAUACUAUAGAGCUAGGAGGCGGGAGAGGCAAGCGGUACUCGAUGGGUAGGGGUAAAAUCCGUUGAUCCAUUGAAGACCACCAGUGGCGAAGGCGGCUUGCCAGAACGCGCUCGACGGUGAGGGAUGAAAGCUGGGGGAGCAAACCGG
RNAcentral lists this ribosomal RNA (253 nucleotides) under uncultured bacterium. Its description in RNAcentral is "partial 16S ribosomal RNA". It matches the Rfam family "Bacterial small subunit ribosomal RNA", at positions 524 to 776 of the family's 1533-position model. The record is from RNAcentral.